This 159-nucleotide non-coding RNA is filed under the name Lutibaculum baratangense AMV1. RNAcentral's name for it is "Phyllobacteriaceae bacterium AMV1 6S / SsrS RNA". It matches the Rfam family "6S / SsrS RNA". From Rfam's summary of the family: E. coli 6S RNA was the first non coding RNA to be sequenced, but its function was unknown until recently. It consists of 184 nucleotides that fold into an extended hairpin structure with a large single-stranded internal bulge. The 6S RNA specifically associates with RNA polymerase holoenzyme containing the sigma70 specificity factor. Lineage: Bacteria; Pseudomonadati; Pseudomonadota; Alphaproteobacteria; Hyphomicrobiales; Tepidamorphaceae. The record is from Rfam by way of RNAcentral.
UCGGGGCUGCGCGGUGCGACAGGAGACACGCAUCCCCGGGGCCUUAUCGAUCCUAAAGGGAGCUGUACCUUCCCUUGUCCGUGGACUUGGGGAAACGGCGCCCACCUACGUAUGUAGGUUCCCGGGAUCGAAACCUCCAUCGGCCGCCGCGGCUCCGAC